AUGUCAAUCCGCUGCUCCUGGUCUCCGAUGAUCACUGUUCGCCAUAGACGACCGGAUGAGUCUCUCUCCUCUUCCCUUUCACCUGGAAGACGCUUGGCAGUGGCCACAGGAGUGUCAUCUAGACACAAGUUGGCUGCAUAUUUGUGACUGGCCUGCCAAAAGGAGACAGCGCCUGAGGCAGGACUCAGACCGAGGACACUGCAGCUCGUUGCCAUUGUUGAUGAACUCCAGCGAGUCUGUCUCAUCAGGAGUCUCGAUGUCAUCUACGUUGAUGUCCAGGUCGUCGGGCGUUUCCAGAAACUCAUCAGAGAGCACCGAUCCCUCGCUCUGAUCCAGGGAGAG
Sander lucioperca (pikeperch) is the source of this 342-nucleotide long non-coding RNA. RefSeq lists it as uncharacterized. The record is from RefSeq and is a predicted model, not a curated record. NCBI's taxonomy places the organism in Eukaryota, Metazoa, Chordata, Actinopteri, Perciformes, Percidae. The transcript has 3 exons.